UCCCUGGUAGCUCAGAUGGUAAAGCAUCUGCCUGCAAUGCAGGAGACCCGGGUUCGAUCCCUGGGUUGGGAA
RNAcentral lists this transfer RNA (72 nucleotides) under Bos taurus (domestic cattle). It matches the Rfam family "tRNA". Rfam says of the family: Transfer RNA (tRNA) molecules are approximately 80 nucleotides in length. Their secondary structure includes four short double-helical elements and three loops (D, anti-codon, and T loops). Lineage: Eukaryota; Metazoa; Chordata; Mammalia; Artiodactyla; Bovidae. RNAcentral also lists the same sequence under 2 other names. The record is from Rfam by way of RNAcentral.